Dipodomys ordii (Ord's kangaroo rat) is the source of this 430-nucleotide long non-coding RNA. RefSeq lists it as uncharacterized. The transcript has 3 exons. NCBI's taxonomy places the organism in Eukaryota, Metazoa, Chordata, Mammalia, Rodentia, Heteromyidae. The record is from RefSeq and is a predicted model, not a curated record.
UCCUGUCAGGACCCAACCUGAGAGCCUCACCUCCAGUCUAAUUUUUCCAGGAGACACCGUUGGUGAUUCAUUCAGCAAAUUUUCAUUGUGCACUAGGCCACAGAUGUCAUUUGAGAAGAAAAGGAAGUCUGGGAGACCAGCUUCACUCAUGACCAUGUUUAGCAAAUUUGUCCCCCAGAGAAACUGAGGAAACUGAUGGACAGAUAAGAUCUCACCAGGCUGGACUGAAAAUGGAAAUAAUUGUUAUCGGUCUUCCAAGCGCUGGGAUUAAAGAUGUACACCACCAUGCCUGGCUACAGUACACAUUUUGCGUGUAAUGGAUGAGUUUUGACAACUGUAUAUGGGUAAUCUGACUUGAGGCAGAGCGUUAAGUUCUCUUGAGAGAUCAUCGUGCAGGUCUGGGGGUUUAACAGCGAAGUCUUGGUUCGGA